UACGUAGGGUGCGAGCGUUGUCCGGAAUUAUUGGCGUAAAGGGCUCGUAGGCGGUUUGUCGCGUCGGGAGUGAAACACCGGGCUUAACUCGGUGCUUGCUUUCGAUACGGGCAGACUAGAGGCAUGCAGGGGAGAACGGAAUUCCUGGUGUAGCGGUGAAAUGACGCAGAGUAUCAGGAGGAACACCGGUGGCGAAGGCGGGUCUCUGGGCCGAUACUGACGCUGAGGAGCGAAAGUGUGGGAGCGAACAGG
This 252-nucleotide ribosomal RNA is filed under the name uncultured bacterium. RNAcentral describes it as "partial 16S ribosomal RNA". It matches the Rfam family "Bacterial small subunit ribosomal RNA", at positions 524 to 776 of the family's 1533-position model. The record is from RNAcentral.